Molecule: long non-coding RNA, 2822 nt
Filed under: Paramuricea clavata
Lineage: Eukaryota; Metazoa; Cnidaria; Anthozoa; Malacalcyonacea; Plexauridae
Source: RNAcentral
CCGCCCAAACACUUUGCCUGGACUUCAAGACGAGUGUGAUUCAACUGCUAAAUUACGACGAGAACACGAGCCAAAUUUUCUCUACUUCGAAAGCAAAGUAAAGUUGUUUUCCUCGUGGCUUCUACGAAGCUAUCAGGUAUUGUAUUUAUCUUGUUAUUCUGUAUUUAUAAGCGAGCUUUAAAGCGACACAAAAAUUUAAUAUGGCGAACUUGACCGAACCGGUUCGAACCGAUUUUAGUCGCUUUUGCCUUUGAAUUUCAGGUGCAUUUUUACUAAACUCUGUUCGAACUUCGUUCGUUAACACUCUUAAUUCACUCACCGUUGGAUUGUGUCUUACUUUAGGUAGAAAUUGGCUCCGAAAACCUCGUCUGAACAUUGAACUGAACGAGAAGCGGGUGCACAAGCUUAAAGCACGUGGGUAAGUUCACUGUCUUGGUAAUGAUGUUAUAUGUCGUUUAAAUUCUUUUAUUUCGGAUUUGUGGCUGAAAUACAUCGCUAGAAAGUGUUCUUGAGACUUUCUGCAUGUGUUUGUGUUAAUUUUGUUUAAAAUUUUGAAAGUUUUGCUAAGAAAUAGCCGAAAAGGGCAUUGGUAUUUGUGCGUCGGUUGUGUCGAACAGUCGCAUGUUUAAUUUAUUCGCUGUUUUAGAACUACGAAUAAGUUUGUAUAAAUGGUCUCUAAACUGCUCGAAUUUCAUUUGCAAUGAUUUUUAGAUGCUCGAAGUUGUCUGACACAAGGCUUUUACUGUAGUAUAAACUCAAAAUAUCCACUGUCAAUGCAUGCAACACUUCAAUUUUUGAGGCCAUGUUAGUCGUUCAUUGUGCAUGUUGCCUGUUGAGCAUUUAAACAAGUCGCUAAUUCUUAUUUUAAAUCCAUUUUAGAAUGAAGAUGAUCACCAACUAAUCCUUAUUAUCAACAUUCAAAGUUAUCCAGACUAACAAGUAACAUGAACGAAUCCAGGACAGAAGCCGAAUUUCUCUGCCUAAAGAAAGCAAAGUGAAGUUGUUUUCUUCACGGCUUCAACGAAGCUUCCAGGUACGAGCUUGACCGAACCGGUUCUAACCGCUUUUGGUUGCCUUUGCCUUUGAAUUUCAGGUGUAUUCUAACUCAAUUUGGUUAAAACUUGUUUGUUAGCACUCUUAACUAAUAUAUUUUCGAAUUUUAGGUAGAAAUUGGCUCUGAAAAUUUCGUCUGAACGUUGAAUUACUAGUGGAUAAGUGGGAAGCGCGUUUCCACGUGGGGUAAGUUUGGCUCUUAUUUAUCGUUUAAAAUUAUUUUUUAUUUCGGAUUUGUUGCCGAGAUAAAUCACUAAAGAGUUAACUUGAGAUUUCCUGCCUGUUUUAUCGGUUUUAAAAGUUUCAUUGAGGAAUAGCCAAAAGUGGGUGUCCUCCCGCAGAAAAUUUUUUACAUUUUUGAAGCAAUAUAUUAUAUAUGCACAAUUUGCGAACUUCACAGGCUAUAUUUUCCUCAUUUUACAACAAUUUUACUCCUAUGAAGAAUUCAUCUUCAAUGAAGAUGCUCUUUCCAGCCAUGGUAAUGAUUUCGUUCUUCUGAUCUUGUCCAGCUCAAAAUUUAGGCGAUGCAUAGCUGGAAUUACCCAUUGUAUUUUUCGGCUAUACUAAAAUGCAUGGCACUUAACAUCAAUGAUUUUUAACUAUAUAUGAUCAUUAAUUUUCUUUCUAUAUCUAUUUUCAGGUUGAAAAUGAUUACAAAUCAACCCAAUGCUACGUUAUUUUGGAAAAAGAUGCUGACCAAUGCUUGAGACGUGUUUGACAUCAGGCUUCUUAUUUGUAUCACAGCCAAGCAGAAUCGGACAGCGGAGGAGGAGGCGAAUUUUAUCUAUCUGAAAUGCCCCUAUAACGCUAAAGUGCCCGCCCAAACAAUUUGUCGUGAACAUCAGAUGACUGGGUUCAAAUUGUUAAAUUGCAACUGGAAUAUGGGCCAACUCCAUGCACUUCAAAAGCAACGUUGCUUUCUUAAUGGCUUCUCUGGAGCAGACGUAUAGGUAUUGUAUUAUUUAUCUUGUUACGUUUCAUCAAUUCACUCUUCAGUAUAUUCUGUUACUCUGCUAAUAUCAUAAGGCACCACCUCGUGUCAUUGUCUUCUGUGCACUCGAAAUUAACAAAUUCGAGAAUUCUACUGCGCCUACUGCCAGGGUUUAGGAGAUCAUAAUGGUGUAUUUAUUUUUCUUUUCCAAAUCUUUCAGAUCGCCAGCAAACCCAAUGUUAAAUGUUGCAUCAAGUGGAUUAUUACGUUUACAUCGUAUUGGACCGGAUCGGAAAACGCCUUUGUAGAACGGACAGCCGCCGCAGAGACAUCACUGAUGCACGUGAGGAAGGAAGAAAGGCAGGCAUGCAACAUGAACAGAACUAUAAAAUAAGCAGCUGCCUUACCUCGACUGUGAAAAUCAAAACGUCGACUCCAUCGCCACAUGGGAGUCGAUACAAUUUACGAGACAUCCUGCAGGACCACCACAAGAUCGCCUCGGAUUUUAUUGGAUUUGUGUACCUGAACAAAAGACUACAGCUAAGACGUACGACGCAACCGACGCCCUACAGAUGAACCGACGCCCUACAGAUGAACCGACGCCACUGAGGUAAUAUCCCAGCGUAUCCUUUAAAGUGAUAAAUACUAUAGUGACGUAUUGCCUCAGCAUCGAUCACAAGAAAGAAGACGUCUCAGGUUAGCGUAUUACACACACUAAAAUUUCGGGGCAACAUUUUCAUGUUUCGGCCAUGUGUGUAAAUAUUCGUACUGUAAUGCAUGCAAUAAAUUUAUUGGGGGACGCCCUGCGGACAUCGGUUAGCGGACAUCCGGACUUUCG